GGGGCGAGGGGGAGAGUGUCCUCGCGUCGCUCCUUCGAACCUCCCCCGGGGGGCUUCAGCCUCUAACACCUGUGUGCACCCGCUGUAGGUCCUUAGGGACCUAUGUCUUCUUCGAACUCGCAUGUCUACAGAAUGUCGUCCGUGGCGCAGGCCACCGUGAAUGUAAUACAACUUUCAGCAAUGGAUCUCUUGGCUCUCGCAUCGAUGAAGGACGCAGCGAAUCGCGAUAAGUAAUGUGAAUUGCAGAUUUUCCGUGAAUCAUCGAAUCUUUGAACGCACCUUGCGCUCCUCGGUAUUCCGAGGAGCAUGCCUGUUUGAGUGUCAUCGAAAUAUCAGAUCGUAGCUUUCGACCGUGUCGGAGCUCGGUUUGGACCCAUGGGAGUCUGCGGGCUGACCUCCCGUCGGGGAGGAAGGUCGGCUCUCCUCAAAAGCAUUAGCGGCGGGUGCGAGCCUCGCAUGGCACGGCCUCUUCGACGUCAUAAUGACCGUCGUGGGCUGAAAGUGCGUGUAUCGAACGUGUCCCCGUCGCUUUCCAACUCUGCGAGCCCGUUCUGCGGACGGCCGCGCGUUAUCGACGUUUGACCUCAAAUCAGGUAGGACUACCCGCUGAACUUAAGCAUAUC
RNAcentral lists this ribosomal RNA (623 nucleotides) under Scleroderma michiganense. RNAcentral's name for it is "eukaryotic LSU rRNA". The stretch from base 170 to 324 matches the Rfam family "5.8S ribosomal RNA". The record is from RNAcentral. Lineage: Eukaryota; Fungi; Basidiomycota; Agaricomycetes; Boletales; Sclerodermataceae.